CCGAUGGCGACCGGCGCACGGGUGAGUAACACGUAUCCAACCUGCCGAUAACUCGGGGAUAGCCUUUCGAAAGAAAGAUUAAUAUCCGAUAGGAUAUCAAGGUCGCAUGAUCUUGAUAUUAAAGAAUUUCGGUUAUCGAUGGGGAUGCGUUCCAUUAGUUAGUUGCGGGGUAACGGCCCACCAAGACGACGAUGGAUAGGGGUUCAGAGAGGAAGGUCCCCCACAUUGGAACUGAGACACGGUCCAAACUCCUACGGAAGGCAGCAG
Molecule: ribosomal RNA, 267 nt
Filed under: uncultured bacterium
Lineage: Bacteria
Description: partial 16S ribosomal RNA
Rfam family: Bacterial small subunit ribosomal RNA
Source: RNAcentral